This 253-nucleotide ribosomal RNA is filed under the name uncultured bacterium. RNAcentral describes it as "partial 16S ribosomal RNA". It matches the Rfam family "Bacterial small subunit ribosomal RNA", at positions 524 to 776 of the family's 1533-position model. The record is from RNAcentral.
UACGUAGGGGGCAAGCGUUGUCCGGAUUUAUUGGGCGUAAAGAGCGUGUAGGCGGCCAUACAGGUCAGCUGUGAAAACUCGAGGCUCAACCUCGAGACGCCGAUGGAAACCAUCAGACUAGAGUCCGGAAGAGGAGAGUGGAAUUCCUGGUGUAGCGGUGAAAUGCGCAGAUAUCAGGAAGAACACCCGUGGCUAAGGCGGCUCUCUAGUACGGUACUGACGCUGAGACGCGAAAGCGUGGGGAGCGAACAGG